Molecule: long non-coding RNA, 122 nt
Organism: Syngnathus acus (greater pipefish)
Lineage: Eukaryota; Metazoa; Chordata; Actinopteri; Syngnathiformes; Syngnathidae
Exons: 3
Source: RefSeq, a predicted model, not a curated record
GAACGAAUCACUUUCUUUCUUUUUUCAGUUCGUAUGACUUCAAUCAGUAGGUGUCGGUAAAGCGCAUUGAAGCUGGUGCCAUCUCGCCGUAAAACAAAACGAAGAAGAAAAUGACGUAAAUU